CUGCAGUGUCAAGUCCCCCAAUUAUUUACUUUGCCUGUAAACGUGAUGCACCCACCCACCUUUACUUACUCACUGGCUCUAAAGCCUUUUGUAGUUGCUAUUUCUUGCUUGAGAAUCCCCAGCCCAUAAAGCCUUAGAGGAGCAAAGACAGGCAGAUCCUGGAGAUUGGCAGCCAGCCAGUCGAACUUGAGAGCUCCAGGUCCAGUGGCAUCCGAUCUGAAGGGACUAAGAAGAGUGGAAGAAGAAGACAGUGACAUUGACCUCUGGCCAGCACACAGUAGCAUGCCAGUAUCACUGAAAUGUAGGACCUUCUUAAUCAUUGAUCACCCCUGAGGAACAGGCCCUAAGGUUGACUAAUACCAACCAGUCUUCUGGUAUUAGUGG
This 384-nucleotide long non-coding RNA is filed under the name Mus musculus (house mouse). Its description in RNAcentral is "predicted gene, 50023". Lineage: Eukaryota; Metazoa; Chordata; Mammalia; Rodentia; Muridae. The record is from RNAcentral.